GCCUCUAUAGCAUAGUGGUAGUGUGUUUGCUUUGUAAGCAAAAGGUUGCAAGUUCAAUCCUUGCUGGGGGCU
This is a transfer RNA of Ipomoea nil (Japanese morning glory), 72 nucleotides long. It matches the Rfam family "tRNA". From Rfam's summary of the family: Transfer RNA (tRNA) molecules are approximately 80 nucleotides in length. Their secondary structure includes four short double-helical elements and three loops (D, anti-codon, and T loops). The record is from Rfam. Lineage: Eukaryota; Viridiplantae; Streptophyta; Magnoliopsida; Solanales; Convolvulaceae.